Molecule: transfer RNA, 87 nt
Filed under: Erysipelotrichaceae bacterium
Lineage: Bacteria; Bacillati; Bacillota; Erysipelotrichia; Erysipelotrichales; Erysipelotrichaceae
Description: tRNA-Leu
Rfam family: tRNA
About the family: Transfer RNA (tRNA) molecules are approximately 80 nucleotides in length.
Source: RNAcentral
GCCGGUGUGGCGGAAUUGGUAGACGCGCUCGACUCAAAAUCCAGUUCUUUCACUAGAGUGUCGGUUCGACUCCGACCAUCGGUACCA